RNAcentral lists this transfer RNA (68 nucleotides) under Marmota monax (woodchuck). RNAcentral's name for it is "tRNA.Ala". Lineage: Eukaryota; Metazoa; Chordata; Mammalia; Rodentia; Sciuridae. The record is from RNAcentral.
GGAUUGUGGCUCAGUGAUAGAGCACUGGCCUAGCAUGUGUGAAGCACUGGGUUCAAUCCUCAGCACCA